RNAcentral lists this ribosomal RNA (432 nucleotides) under uncultured bacterium. Its description in RNAcentral is "partial 16S ribosomal RNA". It matches the Rfam family "Bacterial small subunit ribosomal RNA", at positions 29 to 507 of the family's 1533-position model. The record is from RNAcentral.
ACGAACGCUGGCGGCAUGCCUAACACAUGCAAGUCGCACGAGACCUUCGGGUCUAGUGGCGCACGGGUGCGUAACGCGUGGGAACCUGCCCUUAGGUUCGGAAUAACUCCCCGAAAGGGGUGCUAAUACCGGAUAAUGUCUUCGGACCAAAGAUUUAUCGCCUUUGGAUGGGCCCGCGUUGGAUUAGCUAGUUGGUAGGGUAAAAGCCUACCAAGGCGACGAUCCAUAGCUGGUCUGAGAGGAUGAUCAGCCACACUGGGACUGAGACACGGCCCAGACUCCUACGGGAGGCAGCAGUGGGGAAUAUUGGACAAUGGGCGAAAGCCUGAUCCAGCAAUGCCGCGUGAGUGAUGAAGGCCUUAGGGUUGUAAAGCUCUUUUACCCGGGAUGAUAAUGACAGUACCGGGAGAAUAAGCACCGGCUAACUCCGUG